CAGAGCAGAGGACUGCAGGGAGCCACACAGCCAUGCAGGGAGACCACCAGGUUCCGAGGCUGAGGGAACUACCUCCUGGCCUGCUUCUGGACUGUGUGCUGCCAGAGUUGACACUGACUGGGGAGAAUGGAUGACAGCUCAGCAGGUAGGCCGUGCCUCCACUACAACAGGGUCAAAUGGCCUUCAAGACUGUCCCUUGGGGUGGAGGGGUGCUUCAAUUGCACCCCCAGUAUGUGGGGCCAGGACCCUGAACGUGACACCUGUGGAA
Molecule: long non-coding RNA, 268 nt
Organism: Ochotona princeps (American pika)
Lineage: Eukaryota; Metazoa; Chordata; Mammalia; Lagomorpha; Ochotonidae
Exons: 3
Source: RefSeq, a predicted model, not a curated record